RNAcentral lists this ribosomal RNA (433 nucleotides) under uncultured bacterium. RNAcentral describes it as "bacterial SSU rRNA". It matches the Rfam family "Bacterial small subunit ribosomal RNA", at positions 957 to 1391 of the family's 1533-position model. The record is from RNAcentral.
GAACGCGAAGAACCUUACCAGGUCUUGACAUCCCUCUGACCGCUCUAGAGAUAGAGCUUUCCUUCGGGACAGAGGCGACAGGUGGUGCAUGGUUGUCGUCAGCUCGUGUCGUGAGAUGUUGGGUUAAGCCCCGCAACGAGCGCAACCCCUAUUGUUAGUUGCCAUCAUUCAGUUGGGCACUCUAGCGAGACUGCCGGUAAUAAACCGGAGGAAGGUGGGGAUGACGUCAAAUCAUCAUGCCCCUUAUGACCUGGGCUACACACGUGCUACAAUGGCUGGUACAACGAGUCGCAAGUCGGUGACGGCAAGCUAAUCUCUUAAAGCCAGUCUCAGUUCGGAUUGUAGGCUGCAACUCGCCUACAUGAAGUCGGAAUCGCUAGUAAUCGCGGAUCAGCACGCCGCGGUGAAUACGUUCCCGGGUCUUGUACACACC